CUUCUGUGCUUUGCUGCACCAUGCAGCACAGGGGUAUAAACCCAAACCUCCUCACCAUAACCUCUCCUCACCAUGAAAUAGGCCUCAGUGCACUGAAGACAAACCUCGCAGCUUCAGACUUCCAGAGACUACCAUAAACAC
Molecule: long non-coding RNA, 141 nt
Organism: Oxyura jamaicensis (ruddy duck)
Lineage: Eukaryota; Metazoa; Chordata; Aves; Anseriformes; Anatidae
Exons: 3
Source: RefSeq, a predicted model, not a curated record